RNAcentral lists this ribosomal RNA (510 nucleotides) under Candida albicans. Its description in RNAcentral is "eukaryotic LSU rRNA". The stretch from base 142 to 295 matches the Rfam family "5.8S ribosomal RNA". Lineage: Eukaryota; Fungi; Ascomycota; Pichiomycetes; Serinales; Debaryomycetaceae. The record is from RNAcentral.
UAAACGCAUUGCUUAUUGCACCACAUGUGUUUUUCUUUGAAACAAACUUGCUUUGGCGGUGGGCCCAGCCUGCCGCCAGAGGUCUAAACUUACAACCAAUUUUUUAUCAACUUGUCACACCAGAUUAUUACUAAUAGUCAAAACUUUCAACAACGGAUCUCUUGGUUCUCGCAUCGAUGAAGAACGCAGCGAAAUGCGAUACGUAAUAUGAAUUGCAGAUAUUCGUGAAUCAUCGAAUCUUUGAACGCACAUUGCGCCCUCUGGUAUUCCGGAGGGCAUGCCUGUUUGAGCGUCGUUUCUCCCUCAAACCGCUGGGUUUGGUGUUGAGCAAUACGACUUGGGUUUGCUUGAAAGACGGUAGUGGUAAGGCGGGAUCGCUUUGACAAUGGCUUAGGUCUAACCAAAAACAUUGCUUGCGGCGGUAACGUCCACCACGUAUAUCUUCAAACUUUGACCUCAAAUCAGGUAGGACUACCCGCUGAACUUAAGCAUAUCAAUAAGGCGGAGGAA